GACGAACGCUGGCGGCGUGCUUAACACAUGCAAGUCGAACGGAGUGGCGGACGGGUGAGUAACGCGUAAUCAACCUGCCCUUCAGAGGGGGACAACAGUUGGAAACGACUGCUAAUACGCCAUACUGAAGGACGAGUAUGCGUUUGAAUAGCUAGUUGGAUGGGUGACGGCCCACCAAGGCGAUGAUCAGUCGCCUGUCUGAGAGGAUGAACGGCCACAUUGGGACUGAGACACGGCCCAGACUCCUACGGGAGGCAGCAGUGGGGAAUCUUCCGCAAUGGACGAAAGUCUGACGAAGCAACGCCGCGUGAGUGAUGACGGCCUUCGGGUUGUAAAGCUCCGUUAAUCGGGACGCGGUACCGGAAUAGAAAGCCACGGCUAACUACGUGCCAGCAGCCGCGGUAAUUC
RNAcentral lists this ribosomal RNA (408 nucleotides) under uncultured bacterium. RNAcentral describes it as "partial 16S ribosomal RNA". It matches the Rfam family "Bacterial small subunit ribosomal RNA", at positions 28 to 526 of the family's 1533-position model. The record is from RNAcentral.